UGCGUGUGGAAUGGUUGGUGUGCUGUGCGUAUACAAUAUUGCAACAUACACUUGCACGCACGCACGCCUGCCUGAAGCAGUGGUGGUGUUGGUGGUAGUCAACUCAAUGCAAGAUCCGGAUGGAUAGUGCAGCAGGAGUAGCAGCAAGAAGGAACCUGCAGCAAGGAAAAAAUUUUGAGUGAACAAAAAAAAAAUACAAACAAACAUGCAGGGUAGCAAGCACUGUUAUUUCCACCACCAGGCCUGGACGGCUGUAUGGUCCUGGACGGCUGGAGCCUGGAGGAGUGGAGGGGGAGGUAGAGGACAAAGCCUGCGGCUGUGGGCAGCAAACAAGCCAAAUCUGGAUCAACGCCCAGUUUCCUUUCCGUCAGGGAUGGAUGUAGCCAGGGCUACGAGUCCCUUGCCGUAUCGAUACC
Molecule: long non-coding RNA, 416 nt
Filed under: Zea mays
Lineage: Eukaryota; Viridiplantae; Streptophyta; Magnoliopsida; Poales; Poaceae
Description: long non-coding RNA (ZMAY_LNC004671)
Source: RNAcentral